CCUACGGGUGGCAGCAGUGAGGAAUAUUGGUCAAUGGGCGAGAGCCUGAACCAGCCAAGUCGCGUGAAGGAUGAAGGAUCUAUGGGUUGUAAACUUCUUUUAUAUGGUAAUAAAGUGAGGAACGUGUUCCUUUUUGUAUGUACCAUCUGAAUCAGCAUCGGCUACCUCCUUGCCAGCAGCCGCGGUAAGACGGAGGAUGCGAGCGUUAUCCGGAUUUAUUGGGUUUAAAGGGUGCGUAGGUGGUGAAUUAAGUCAGUGGUGAAAGUGUGUGGCUCAACCAUAAAAUUGCCGUUGAGACUGGUUGACUUGAGUAUAUUUGAGGCAGGCGGAAUGCGUGGUGUAGCGGUGAAAUGCAUAGAUAUCACGCAGAACUCCGAUUGCGAAGGCAGCUUACUAAACUAUAACUGACACUGAAGCACGAAAGCGUGGGGAUCAAACAGGAUUAGAGACCCGUGUAGUC
RNAcentral lists this ribosomal RNA (460 nucleotides) under uncultured bacterium. RNAcentral's name for it is "partial 16S ribosomal RNA". It matches the Rfam family "Bacterial small subunit ribosomal RNA", at positions 338 to 795 of the family's 1533-position model. The record is from RNAcentral.